This 253-nucleotide ribosomal RNA is filed under the name uncultured bacterium. Its description in RNAcentral is "partial 16S ribosomal RNA". It matches the Rfam family "Bacterial small subunit ribosomal RNA", at positions 524 to 776 of the family's 1533-position model. The record is from RNAcentral.
UACGAAGGGGGCUAGCGUUGUUCGGAUUUACUGGGCGUAAAGCGCACGUAGGCGGAUCGUUAAGUCGGGGGUGAAAUCCUGGAGCUCAACUCCAGAACUGCCUUCGAUACUGGCGAUCUUGAGUCCGGAAGAGGUGAGUGGAACUCCUAGUGUAGAGGUGGAAUUCGUAGAUAUUAGGAAGAACACCAGUGGCGAAGACGGCUCACUGGUCCGGUACUGACGCUGAGGUGCGAAAGCGUGGGGAGCAAACAGG